GACCUAUUAGUCAAGUUGGUUAAGACACCGUCCUUUCACGGCGGAAGCAGGAGUUCAAAUCUCCUAUAGGUCACCA
This 76-nucleotide transfer RNA is filed under the name Caudoviricetes sp. RNAcentral describes it as "tRNA-Glu". It matches the Rfam family "tRNA". From Rfam's summary of the family: Transfer RNA (tRNA) molecules are approximately 80 nucleotides in length. The record is from RNAcentral. Lineage: Duplodnaviria; Heunggongvirae; Uroviricota; Caudoviricetes.